Molecule: ribosomal RNA, 206 nt
Filed under: uncultured bacterium
Lineage: Bacteria
Description: partial 16S ribosomal RNA
Rfam family: Bacterial small subunit ribosomal RNA
Source: RNAcentral
UGCGUAGACGGUUAUUUAAGUCGGAUGUGAAAGCCCCGGGCUCAACCUGGGAAUUGCAUUCGAGACUGAAUAGCUAGGGUGCGGUAGAGGGAAGCGGAAUUUCCGGUGUAGCGGUGAAAUGCGUAGAUAUCGGAAGGAACAUCAGUGGCGAAAGCGGCUUCCUGGACCAGCACCGACGUUCAGGCACGAAAGCGUGGGAGCAAACA